Molecule: ribosomal RNA, 254 nt
Filed under: uncultured bacterium
Lineage: Bacteria
Description: partial 16S ribosomal RNA
Rfam family: Bacterial small subunit ribosomal RNA
Source: RNAcentral
CACGUAGGGUGCGAGCGUUGUCCGGAAUUAUUGGGCGUAAAGAGCUCGUAGGCGGUGUGUCGCGUCGGCCGUGAAAACCUGCAGCUUAACUGUGGGCUUGCGGUCGAUACGGGCAUCACUGGAGUUCGGCAGGGGAGACUGGAAUUCCUGGUGUAGCGGUGAAAUGCGCAGAUAUCAGGAAGAACACCCGUGGCGAAAGCGGCUCUCUGGGACGGUACUGACGCUGAGACGCGAAAGCGUGGGGAGCGAACAGG